Molecule: ribosomal RNA, 287 nt
Filed under: uncultured bacterium
Lineage: Bacteria
Description: partial 16S ribosomal RNA
Rfam family: Bacterial small subunit ribosomal RNA
Source: RNAcentral
GACGAACGCUGGCGGCGUGCUUAACACAUGCAAGUCGAGCGGUAAGGCCCUUUCGGGGGUACGACGAGCGGCGAACGGGUGAGUAACACGUGGGUGACCUGCCCUUAGCUCUGGGAUAAGCCUGGGAAACGUGGGUCUAAUACCGGAUAUGACUCCAUGACGCAUGUUGUGGGGUGGAAAGCCUUGUGCGGCUAGGGAUGGGCCCGCGGCCUAUCAGCUUGUUGGUGGGGUGAUGGCCUACCAAGGCGACGACGGGUAGCCGGCCUGAGGAGGGCGACCGGCCACAC